RNAcentral lists this ribosomal RNA (468 nucleotides) under uncultured bacterium. RNAcentral describes it as "partial 16S ribosomal RNA". It matches the Rfam family "Bacterial small subunit ribosomal RNA", at positions 28 to 507 of the family's 1533-position model. The record is from RNAcentral.
GACGAACGCUGGCGGCGUGCUUAACACAUGCCAGUCGAACGGAAAGGCCCUGCUUUUGUGGGGUGCUCGAGUGGCGAACGGGUGAGUAACACGUGAGUAACCUGCCCUUGACUUUGGGAUAACUUCAGGAAACUGGGGCUAAUACCGGAUAGGAGCUCCUGCUGCAUGGUGGGGGUUGGAAAGUUUCGGCGGUUGGGGAUGGACGCGCGGCUUAUCAGCUUGUUGGUGGGGUAGUGGCUUACCAAGGCUUUGACGGGUAGCCGGCCUGAGAGGGUGACCGGCCACAUUGGGACUGAGAUACGGCCCAGACUCCUACGGGAGGCAGCAGUGGGGAAUAUUGCACAAUGGGCGGAAGCCUGAUGCAGCAACGCCGCGUGCGGGAUGACGGCCUUCGGGUUGUAAACCGCUUUCGCCUGUGACGAAGCGUGAGUGACGAUAAUGGGUAAAGAAGCACCGGCUAACUACGUG